Molecule: ribosomal RNA, 253 nt
Filed under: uncultured bacterium
Lineage: Bacteria
Description: partial 16S ribosomal RNA
Rfam family: Bacterial small subunit ribosomal RNA
Source: RNAcentral
UACGGAGGGUGCAAGCGUUAUCCGGAUUCACUGGGUUUAAAGGGUGCGUAGGCGGCUGAUUAAGUCAAUGGUGAAAGCUCACAGCUUAACUGUGAAACUGCCAUUGAUACUGGUUGGCUUGAGUACGAUUGAUGUGGGCGGAAUACAUCAUGUAGCGGUGAAAUGCUUAGAUAUGAUGUAGAACACCGAUUGCGAAGGCAGCUCACAAAAUCGCAACUGACGCUGAGGCACGAAAGCGUGGGGAGCAAACAGG